GUGGGGAAUAUUGGACAAUGGGCGAAAGCCUGAUCCAGCCAUGCCGCGUGUGUGAAGAAGGUCUUCGGAUUGUAAAGCACUUUAAGUUGGGAGGAAGGGUAGUAACCUAAUACGUUGCUACUUUGACGUUACCGACAGAAUAAGCACCGGCUAACUUCGUGCCAGCAGCCGCGGUAAUACGAAGGGUGCAAGCGUUAAUCGGAAUUACUGGGCGUAAAGCGCGCGUAGGUGGUUCAGUAAGUUGGAAGUGAAAUCCCCGGGCUCAAACUGGGAACUGCUUUCAAAACUGCUGAGCUAGAGUACGGUAGAGGGUGGUGGAAUUUCCUGUGUAGCGGUGAAAUGCGUAGAUAUAGGAAGGAACACCAGUGGCGAAGGCGACCACCUGGACUGAUACUGACACUGAGGUGCGAAAGCGUGGGGAGCAAACAGGAUUAGAUACCCGUGUAGUCC
RNAcentral lists this ribosomal RNA (450 nucleotides) under uncultured bacterium. RNAcentral describes it as "partial 16S ribosomal RNA". It matches the Rfam family "Bacterial small subunit ribosomal RNA", at positions 354 to 796 of the family's 1533-position model. The record is from RNAcentral.